GAUGAACGCUGGCGGCGUGCUUAACACAUGCAAGUCGAACGAAGCACUUAUCUUUGAUUCUUCGGAUGAAGAGGUUUGUGACUGAGUGGCGGACGGGUGAGUAACGCGUGGGUAACCUGCCUCAUACAGGGGGAUAACAGUUAGAAAUGACUGCUAAUACCGCAUAAGACCACGGAGCCGCAUGGCUCAGUGGGAAAAACUCCGGUGGUAUGAGAUGGACCCGCGUCUGAUUAGGUAGUUGGUGGGGUAACGGCCUACCAAGCCAACGAUCAGUAGCCGACCUGAGAGGGUGACCGGCCACAUUGGGACUGAGACACGGCCAAACUCCUACGGGAGGCAGCAGUGGGGAAUAUUGCACAAUGGGGGAAACCCUGAUGCAGCGACGCCGUGUGAGCGAAGAAGUAUUUCGGUAUGUAAAGCUCUAUCAGCAGGGAAGAAAGUGACGGUACCUGAAUAAGAAGCCCCGGCUAACUACGUGCCAGCCGCCGCAGUAA
Molecule: ribosomal RNA, 494 nt
Filed under: uncultured bacterium
Lineage: Bacteria
Description: partial 16S ribosomal RNA
Rfam family: Bacterial small subunit ribosomal RNA
Source: RNAcentral